RNAcentral lists this ribosomal RNA (663 nucleotides) under uncultured cyanobacterium. Its description in RNAcentral is "bacterial SSU rRNA". It matches the Rfam family "Bacterial small subunit ribosomal RNA", at positions 99 to 795 of the family's 1533-position model. Lineage: Bacteria; Bacillati; Cyanobacteriota. The record is from RNAcentral.
CGGACGGGUGAGUAACGCGUGAGAAUCUGCCUUCAGGUUCGGGACAACCACUGGAAACGGUGGCUAAUACCGAAUGUGCAGAAAUGUGAAAUAUUUAUAGCCUGAAGAUGAGCUCGCGUCUGAUUAGCUAGUAGGUGUGGUAAGAGCGCACCUAGGCGACGAUCAGUAGCUGGUCUGAGAGGAUGAUCAGCCACACUGGGACUGAGACACGGCCCAGACUCCUACGGGAGGCAGCAGUGGGGAAUUUUCCGCAAUGGGCGAAAGCCUGACGGAGCAAUACCGCGUGAGGGAGGAAGGCUCUUGGGUUGUAAACCUCUUUUCUCAAGGAAGAACACAAUGACGGUACUUGAGGAAUAAGCAUCGGCUAACUCCGUGCCAGCAGCCGCGGUAAUACGGAGGAUGCAAGCGUUAUCCGGAAUGAUUGGGCGUAAAGCGUCCGCAGGUGGCUGUGUAAGUCUGCUGUUAAAUAGUGAGGCUCAACCUCAUAAAGGCAGUGGAAACUACAUGGCUAGAGUGCGUUCGGGGCAGAGGGAAUUCCUGGUGUAGCGGUGAAAUGCGUAGAGAUCAGGAAGAACACCGGUGGCGAAAGCGCUCUGCUAGGCCGCAACUGACACUGAGGGACGAAAGCUAGGGGAGCGAAUGGGAUUAGAUACCCCAGUAGUC